AUUUAAUCAAAAUUUAUAAAAGCCUUCACUGUUCUCCUUUUCUUCCUAUUGUUCCAUGCUGCACAAAAUCAACUCAAAAGGCUAAUAACAGCAGGUCAGCGAAUGCUGAUGUUGAUGUUGAUUCAAUGUCCUAAAAUCUGAACUGAAUUCCUAUAGUAAAGUAAAAUCACCUACACGAAAGAUCACAAAAUCUUCUCAAAUGGAUUUAUCAUCUUUACUGUGUUCAUUUCUCAGAUCAUGACGUUUCUUUACACUGUUGCAAAUAAUGGAUCUGAUUAUGAGAGAAACCUAUGCGAAUCCAAAGACAUGUUUCUUUCAAGUCCUCUUCCAGGUCAGUACAUCUCUGUAAUUUUUGUUUGAAGAAUCUACACCUCCCUGUAAUUAACUAUUUUAGACUUCUACAUACUUUCAGCCCUAUUUUUUUGACAGCUUUGUCAUCAUUUUUGUGGUCAUGGUUUUUCUUGCUGCCCUUGAUUUUUGGAUUUUAGUUGCGCUUAGAUGGUGGAAUGAGCAGGGUGAGAGUGUCAGGUUUCAACUUCAAACAUGAUACUAAUUUUUUAAGUUAAAUGGUUUCUACAACAACAACAACAAUUUGUUUUUAAUGUUCAUUGAUUCUGUGCAUCUCAUGUUUUUCCUUUUCUUUGAUGCAGUCAGUCAUUGGCUCGUCUGAACAAGAAGGAUUCUUGGCUAUUUUGGUGGACAUUAUUCCUUAAUGUGCAUGUGAGUAAAUAAAAAUUCGAUGGCUGUUGCGUAUAACCCAUAACAUACUCAUGGUUCUUCUUAGAAUGACGGGUGAAGUUAUUUUUGUUGCCAGUAAAAAUCCUAGGAGCAUACCAAAAUUCUUAGAUAUCUGAAUUGCUAUAAAAUAGAGUAGAGAUACUUGUUGUCUUAUGCUCUGAUUUUAUGCAUCUCAUUUAAGUAUAAAACUUUGGUGAUGUUUUGCCUAAUACCAGGUGCGCAAGAAAUAAAAAAAUGUUGGGAUCUUUUGUUAUUAUGUUGAGAUGUUGGUGUAGAUGAGUGGUAAGAUAUGCUUAUAUUAUGCAUUACAUGAAAACUUGAAGGCUGCAAGAGAGGGUGAAGAACAAAGAAUUUGAAUUUGUCAAUAGUACGGAGCAAUAUGGUUUCAACAUGCUGUAUAUGAUGAGGGCGAUCAACGGCAAAAAAACUGUUGAUUGAUAUGGCUGCUGCUUGGGUCAUCAUUGGAAUAUUUUCCGUUAAAAGGUUUGAGGCUGAUUAUGUCCUUGUAGUUGCUGUUUGUGCAAGCCUCGGCAUAGCAAACAUUGUUGGAUUCACCAAGUGCCGUAAAGCAUCUGCUGGGGAUCAGAUUUCAACUGAGAGUAAAUACCAUUCUGUUCUGACAAGUCGAGUUGUCCUAAAAUUUAUGCUUAUUGGGAAAAUUGUUACGUAUUACUGCGAUCACCAGAACCGUGAGAGACAUUUUUCAUAAGCAUGUCACGAAUACAAUCUUUACUUGCCUUUGACGAAGAGUAAGAGCUGUCUCUUGCAUCAUAAGAACUUGGUGAAAUAAAUCCUAUGUCGCUCAAAACAGUAGUGUUUUGCCUGCAUUACUACAGUUUAGAAGUUGCAUUUGUGGAGUGGACUUUGUCUGUGUUCUUGGUUUAUAAUUUGAUACCACACAGCAUCAGUUCCUUAACAUUAUUAGCAUGAAUGAUUUUACCCUCAUGUUACUGUAGUUUUUUUUUUUUUGGUUACUAUGUGAACAAUUAAAAUUCUUUAAAGCAUUCUUAUGCAGAGCCACUUUGAAGCUUCAGUCAAAAACUAGAUUUUCUUUUCUUGUACUGAAGGGUACUCUGUUCAUAUUCAGAUGCCAAGAAGCAAAUUCAAGGAUUUGCAUCCCAGGCUCUUGCGUCUCAUUUCACAUCUUCCAUACGGUCUGCACUUGGUGCAGUGUAAGUUGUCUAAACAGAAAUUAUCCAGAUAUUUCACAUCUUUCUGUUUCUGUGAUGGCCAAUUGCGGGUAAGUACCACAGUACAGUCAUUUUUGGAAUUUCUAAAUCCCUUUUAUUUUUUAAAAUACACAUAGACAGUUCGAGAGAUAUAUGUAAAGAUAGAGAGAACAAAGAAGCUGCAAAAGGUUUUCCAAAUUCAUCUUUUCUUUAAUCAAAAAGUGUCAUUAACUGUACUGUUGUUUGCCACUCGUUCUUAUGCAUUCAAGACAUGAAUACCAUAUUGAAAUUCUCUGAA
This is an RNA transcript of Populus trichocarpa (black cottonwood), 2205 nucleotides long. It is a transcript of the gene named Golgi apparatus membrane protein-like protein ECHIDNA, with no coding region annotated. The transcript is spliced from 3 exons. NCBI's taxonomy places the organism in Eukaryota, Viridiplantae, Streptophyta, Magnoliopsida, Malpighiales, Salicaceae. The record is from RefSeq and is a predicted model, not a curated record.